This is a non-coding RNA of Manis pentadactyla (Chinese pangolin), 390 nucleotides long. The record is from the annotation of a RefSeq genome assembly. Lineage: Eukaryota; Metazoa; Chordata; Mammalia; Pholidota; Manidae.
AUGGCCCAGGUGACAGAGCCAUGGCAUCACCACCUAAACAUGAAUCAGAUCCCCCCUGGCUCAGGGCCCACUCCAAACCUUGGUGAGACUGUGCUGACCGAGCCGCCAGCCUUCCUGCCUGGGACUCCAGGGCAGAGAGCCACCGUCAGCUGCCGGGCCGGCCGGGGCAUUAGCAGCUUCCUGCCCUGGUACCAGCAGAAACCAGACCAGGCUCCGAAGCGCCUUGUAAAGUAUGCUUCCCAGACCGUCUCGGGGGUCCCUGUGAGGUUCAGUGGCAGUGGGUCUGGGACAGAUUUUACCCUCACCAUCAAUGGUCUGGAGCCUGAAGACUUUGCAACUUAUUACUGUCAACAAAGCACUGACUGGAUGCACUAUGGGUCAGGAGUCUAG